ACGCAUUCUAGAGCCUAAUUCAUCUCAAUUAAAAAUUAAAAUUACAUUCAAAUCCACAUUCAAAAUUUCAUUUCUCAAAUCAAUCCUUAAAUAAAUUUACUGUAAUCCAUCUCUCCUUAUAUAAGCUGCACCUUGAUCUGAUUUACCACUUAAUUAAAUAUCAAAAUCAUAUAUUUCUAAAAAUGAUUAACAACGACGAUAUACAAGCAAAAUCUAAGUUAUAUUAAUCGUGGACUAUCGAUUACAGGACAGAUUCCCCUGAUUGGAAUAAAAAACCGCCAAAUUUUUUGAUUUUAAAGAACAUAACUAAUAUUAAUCAAGUAUAAUAAUCCACGCCUAGAAUAAUGGGGUAUCUAAUCCCAGUCUAUCAACUAGAUUUCUCAGCCUCAUAAUCAAAAAAUAAAUUAAGUAAAAAAUAAGAUUUCACCCAAUAUCCCAUUAAAGUAAAAAAUUAACUUCUAUUAACUGAAUAUAACCGGAAAAAAACAGUAGUAUUAUUUGUUUAACCGCA
Molecule: ribosomal RNA, 511 nt
Filed under: Eumolpinae sp. JGZ-33
Lineage: Eukaryota; Metazoa; Arthropoda; Insecta; Coleoptera; Chrysomelidae
Description: partial 12S ribosomal RNA
Source: RNAcentral